AUUUAGUCAGAAAAUAAUCUGACUAAAGCAGAUUUAUAUUCAAUAUAAAUAAUUCUAAAAAUAUGACAGCUUGCAACUACACAGAAGUAUUAUAAAUAUUAAAAAAACAAUAAUAUUAAGUUAUAUUACCAUUUCCUGAUUUCUAUGGUCUGCUUGGGAUAUUAUUUCUUCCCAUAAAAACAUUACACCCAUAAUAUUCAUAGUCAUUUAGCUUCUCAUUAAAUUCAAUCUUGUUAGUCUUUUGAUCUAUAAAUCUAGGAGGCUCACAGGCAAUUACACAUAGAAAGUGUACCACCAGAAUUCAAUUUAAAUCACCAGUUAUAACACUAAGCUAUCAGAUUUUAAAAACUCUUUUAUCCCAUGGACUAAAAUAACUUUUCUUACAUAGUUAGUCUUUCAUAUUUCACCAAACAUUUUUUAUUACCUUUAAUGUAAUAAAACACUAGGUGUCACAGAUAUAAUGACAAAGACAUAGACCUUAUUGGAAUUCAGUCCACUAGGUAAGAUCAAAAUAAAACCAAAGAAUUACAAUAUAUUGUGAUACAUUUUUUAUAAAAGAAAUAUGUACAUAUUAUAUCCUGAAGGAUGAAAAGUGAUCAAACAAAGCUGGAUGAAUUAGAGCGGUUUCGAAGAAUGAGAAAAAGGAUUUAUAAAAGCAUGAAAAUAUUAACAGUAUUGUCUACUCAUUAAAAACAGAUAGCUUUUUCAGCUAGAAAUGCAUCUUCCAGUUAAUUCGCCAAAAUGACUAACACAGAGGGAAAGAGGAGAGACACCUACCAUAUAUUCCCUAAGUCUUUUAGAAAACAUAGAGUUGCUCCUUUGGCCACAUACAUGGGAAUCUACAAGAAAGGUGUGGUAUUACAGACAUCAAGGGAAUUGGCACUGUUCAGAAAGGAAUGCCCACAAAUGUCCCCAUGUCAAAACUGGAAGAAUCUACAAUGUCAUCCAGCAGUGGACACUGUGCACAAAACAAGGGCAAGAUUCUUGCCAAGAGAAUUAAUGCACAUAUUGAGCAUGUUAAGCACUCUAAGAGCCGAGAGAGUUUCCUAAAAUGUGUGAAGGAAAAUAAUCAGAAAAAGAAGGAAGACAAAGAAAAAGGCACCUGGGUUCAACUGAGGCAUCAGCUGGCUCCACCCAGGGAUGCACACUUUGUGAGAACCAACGGAAAAGGGCCUGGGCUGCUGGAACCUAUUCCCCUUGACGUUGUGACAUGAUAAAGUGUAAAAAUAUUAAAAGACACUCUACUGAUAAACACACACACACACACACAGCUGAAAUGAAUGGAGUAUAGGGUCAUGAAGCCAAAAGUGGUGGGAAAUGAAUUUAAAGAUGUAUA
Long non-coding RNA from Phyllostomus discolor (pale spear-nosed bat), 1336 nucleotides. RefSeq lists it as uncharacterized. The transcript is spliced from 2 exons. Lineage: Eukaryota; Metazoa; Chordata; Mammalia; Chiroptera; Phyllostomidae. The record is from RefSeq and is a predicted model, not a curated record.